AUGAGGGGCAGCACGUGGAAAUUACCAUGCAAUGCCACUGAGCAUGUUGUGGAUGGCAAGGCAAUAUCUGUCAUAUCUCUGCUUGUGUCCACAGACUCAGGCCCUGUACGUGGCUGCUUGCAGCUCCUUGCACAGUCCUUGGUGGUCCUGUAUCACCCCUGUCCUCUUGUGGGUGGGCCCCCUCAGCUCCUUAGGCAAACUCCUUUGACAGCAUUUGCAAGUCAUCCCCACUGUGCCUCUCUCUCCAGGGCUAAUAUCUCGGUCCCUGGGAGACACGACGUGCCCCUUGCCUGCUUUCCAUGCAGCCACCUCCACCAGGCCACGUGCAUCUCUAUUUUCUUGAGAGUGACUUAUGCACUGGGUUCCUGUCUUCCCAAUUGGCUUCAGGCAAGAGCCACAGCGCAGUCUUCUGAGGAAUGCCCGGCAGCCCCUUCUCACCAGACUUGGGAUGCGGUCUCAGAGGCAGAGUCACUUCACAUCUGGGAAUAAAUCCCAGUCCUACCUGAUUCAUUCAUUUAUUUCACCCACACUUACGGACACUUGCUGUGUGCACUUGCUGCACAGUGUUGGUAUAUGACACAGUGCCGGCUGCUAAGGAGCUCAUGGUCUACUUGAGGGGACAGACACAUAUGGGAUGCAGUGCCCCGGGGUAAGUGCAACAAUGUCAGUAUGGGCGGCAUUUGGAGAGUGUAAAGAAAGAGCCUCCCAUACACCCUUGAAAGGCCGGCAAGUGCUUCCUGGAGUUGAUGGUACCUGAGCUAAAUAUUAAAGAAGUAGAAGCUGGUCAGGUUACAUGGAGGUUGCUGGGUGUGAGCUCACGGCGGGUAGGUUUGCUGUUUCUGGUGCGAGAGACAAACACAAGUAUAUUCAGAGAACUAAAUGGUUUCCUGGCGGCUGCACCUGGAUUCCAGAGAAGUAGAUCUUGAGUGUGAGUUUCUAAAAAAUGAGAUAAGUUAAUGGUCUGUAAUCCCAGCUACUCGGGAGGCUGAGGCAGGAGAAUUGCUUGAAUCGGGGAGGCAGAGGUUGCAGUGAACCAAGACCGCACCACUGCACUCCAGCCUGGGCAACACAGUGAGUGAGACUCCAUCUCAAAAAAAAAAAGUUAAUUGGUAGAGUGAACUUUUCCUCCUGAAUGGGGCCUUGAAGCCAUCAUGGGGCACGGCAAAUGGGUUGGGGUUGCCAGGCCUUGAUCAGAUGACUGGGGGAAACUGGCCGUGGGCUUUGAGCUGUACUUUUUGUCAGACUCUUCCCUGUGGAUGACAGAAGAGCACUUAUAUCUCCCAAACAAGCAUUUGCUAAAAGCAACAGCAACAACCACCACCAACCAAAAAACAAAACAAAACAAAAUCAAACAAACAAAAAAACACCAGAAGAAAAGGGUAAGGAGGCAGGGCACCAGACAAACGGGUUGUCUUUGAGUGUGCAGAGUGGGUGGCUGAGUGUGAGCGUGUCAUCUCCCAGAGGGCAGAAUGCCUUAGGACAGUCCUACGUGGCCUGUGCAGUUAAUACAACCGUCACAAUUUUCUCAGUUACCUGCUCACUGCCCAGAGAGGACACGGUAAGUGUCACCUGAGAAAAGGACUUCUUGGCACUUUGGGGGUUAGACGGUCACCGCGCAACAAGCGGAGGGUUCUUUUCUGAAUCAUUCCCUGUUAUAAUUCAGCAUUAGGGCUCUUGGUUGUGAAUUAAAAAAAAAAAACAAAAAAAAAAACAGAAGGCAAAUUGAUUGGAAGGGUAUUUGGUAGCUCUUUGCUAUCUGUGGGUAGUUGAGCACACCCGCCUGAGCACAAACAAAGGUCGACAAGGCCCAGCGACAUCCUACCCUGGGUGCUCUGGGCUUAGGAUGUUGCUUCUGGGGUCUCACCCUUGUAUGCUACUGCUCCUGGAAACUUCUAUCACACGAAUGGCCUCCGGACAACUUCUAAGUGGUCCUUGACUUUGCUGCAUGGACGCGGAAUUAAAACCUGAGUGGAAGCCUCUGAUUGGCUGUGCUCAGGUCACACGGCCUUGCUGAGGAAGGAGGGAAGGCAACCAUGUGCCCCCUUUGGCCCCUUAAUAAGGGAACCUGUCUCCUGCCUAAUUUGAAAUUUCCUCCCAGAAUAGGAGAGUGUUUGAGUGCUGAAUGGCCCCAAAUGCCAAGUAACUACCGUGGUUUUUGACCUUCCAGACCCGACUUUCAGAGACAUUUUGCUCCCCAGCGCUGCUCACCUUUGGUUUCACAGCAGUUCUGAGGCCCGAGAAACUGAGGAGUUUUUCUGGCCACUUUUGGGAGAAACCAUCUUUUAAAUUCUUGAUCAGUUUCUUCAGCCCCUUCCCUAGAAACAGACACCAUUUCUCUUUGAGUGAAAAGAGAAGUCGUUGCCUAUCUGUAAAGGGGAUUCCCACUUCCUCUGAGAGAGGUUCCUGUCAACAGCCUUCUCUUGUCCUAUGCUGUGUACAUCAGGGGCAAUGAAUUGAGCAGGAGGAAAGGGGACACUUAGUCUCUGACCGUUUCAGUUUUUUCCUGCUUUGACACAGGGCAGAAAUCAUACUGUCUCAUUGAUUAGGGCUCAAGUUAAAACACUCAGGGCCACCUAGACUAUUCUUUUCUUUUUCUUUUUAAGCAGGUUUAUAAUUGACAUAAAAAAGCUGCACAUAUUUAAUGUAUCCAAUUUGAUGAGUUUGAACAUAUGCAUGCCCCUUUGACACCAUUACCACAACCAAGGUAACAGACAGAGCUGCCAUCUCAAAAGUUCACUUGUGUUCCCUCCAUUCCUUUUUUUUAAGGGAAAGAACACUUAACAGGAGAUAUAUCCUCUUAAUAAAUUUUUAAGUGCAUAAUACUGUAUUGUUGACUGUGCAAUGCUGUACAGCAGAUCUCUAGAACUAAUUCACUUGUAUAACUGUAACUUUAUACCCAUUGGGCAAUGACCCCAUUUCCCUUCCCCUUGGCCCCUGGCAACCACCAUUUUAUUCUUUGCUUCUAUGAGCCUAGUUUAGAUACCUCAUCUAAGUGGAAUCAUGCGGUAUUUGUCCUUCUGUGCCUGGCUUAUUUCACUUAGCAUAAUGUCUUCCAGGUUCAUCUAUGUUGUCAAAAAUGGCAGGGUUUCCUUCUUUUCUCAGGCUGAAAAGUUCUAUUGUAUGUGUGUACCACAUUUUCUUUAUCCAUUCAUCUCUUGAUGGACAUUUGGGUUGUUUCCAUAACUUGACUCCUCUUAAUCUUGUUACAGUGAACACAGGAGUGCAGAUAUCUUUUCAAGAUCCUGUUUUCAAUUCUUUUGGGUAUAUACUCGGUAGUAGGAUUGCAAAUUAAAAAUGGAACUCUCACAGACCAUUAUUUUCUUGAUCCUUGGGUGCAUUUACUUUGGGUUUCCUAGGAACUCCUCUGUCUAUGGAUUUGCCUUGUAGAGUCAGAGGGGAUGAUUGGAGAACCUGAAUGGAGAUGUGAAUUUUGAGCCUCUUUGGAAUUCAAACUACUGAUUUACCAGAACCAGAAAAUUUGGCUCUGGCCCCAGUACAGGCUGAGAAAGUUCAUCUUUUUAAAAGGGGGCAGUUCUCCAUUAGUUAGGGUACUGGAAUGGUCCAGGGAGGGAUAACUCAGGCCAUUUGCUUUGCUUCCUUCCCUUUUUUUCUUUCUUUGUGAUCUUUGGCCAGUUCAUGGCUUUCUAAUCCUGCCACUGGGGGAUGAAGGAAGAUUAAACUUGUCCUGUUGCCUUUACAUGUUAUGAGCUCUCCAGAAAAAGUUUGCAUGGGAAUGGCUGAAGAUGUGGUAAGUUAAAAUGAAAUCAAUACACAGUUUACUAUCCACGUCUUUCUGCUACCCUGCGAAUUUUCUUCCUCUCCAUGUAAUCUCUUUAUUGCAGCCUAAGAACUUUGUUAAGGGCUCCAUGACCAGGGUCUGUAGGAAACUCCUAAGACCUGAGGUUUCACCAGCAGAAAUGACAGCUGUUCCAAAAACAGAAAGGAGGUAAUUUCUUGUUUCAAAUUUCUCCAAAGGUGAGAGUUAAGACUCACUCUCAAGAUCUUUAUGCCUCACAGGCAAUGAGAGGAAGGGGUGACAUUUUAACAGAUCACAUUCCCAAAGCCAAUCCAACAGGAGGGCUGGAAUUUGGGGAGGCUGCAGGGAGCAGGACUUUGGUGCUGUAAUCACUGGUUAUCCUGUAAUAGUAUUACAGGAGACUUUCCUGGUCACUGAGAACCAGAACUGUAGCUGAUUUUCAGCCCAAGACUUGGUGGGUUCUGUGGAGUUCAGCAUUCAAAGCCCUACCAUCAACUGCGACUUCAGUGUCACAGGCAGAUGGUGUCACCAAGGCAUAAUGACUCCUGACCUGUGGCUCUGCUCUUCCUCCUUUCUCUUCCUCUCUCCCUUUCCCUGGGGGUCCGUGGCCCAGACCCGCAUUCCUUUGUUAUCACACUUCCUUCCACAGACUGCACAGGCCUGCUCAGGGCACCAAGCUGUGUGAAAAUGCUCCAGGCUGGUGGGAACACCGCUCCCAGAAAGAAUCUGACUUGUUUCAGAAGCUUAUCUUCUGGCGCUUGCUCUUCCAAAGGAAAAGGCUGUGGCAGGAGGAUAAAAGAGGCAAUCCAAGAGUGGGUGAGACGGAACCAGUUACACGCAUCUCAGCCCAGGGAGGGAGUGAGGAAGGAAUGAAUGUGGCCUAAGUCCCUCACUUGCAAUGUGUAAGAGAUAAAUGAACCUGCUCACCCUCCGUCUCACCCAGCCACACUCAGGGUCAUUUGCUGUAGCCCAGUUGGCUGCCGCUCGGGUGGGGUUGCCAGGUAGAAUAAUGGUCACCCACAGCUGCUCCUCCACAGGGGCUGAGCCCAGGGUGGCUUCACUGGAAGAGGGUGUGGGACAAGCUGGGUGUCCUGGCUGACAUCUCUGCUAGCUGUUGGAAAGUUGAGUGAGGGAUGGGGUAGCUGUAUCUGUGUGUGUAUAUGUGACGGAGUGUGUGUUUGCUGGGUCUUCAUAUGUGUUUGUUUCAGAUGGACGUGUGUG
RNAcentral lists this long non-coding RNA (4978 nucleotides) under Macaca mulatta (Rhesus monkey). RNAcentral's name for it is "lncRNA (ENSMMUG00000062285.1)". The record is from RNAcentral. Lineage: Eukaryota; Metazoa; Chordata; Mammalia; Primates; Cercopithecidae.